RNAcentral lists this ribosomal RNA (253 nucleotides) under uncultured bacterium. RNAcentral's name for it is "partial 16S ribosomal RNA". It matches the Rfam family "Bacterial small subunit ribosomal RNA", at positions 524 to 776 of the family's 1533-position model. The record is from RNAcentral.
UACGUAGGUGGCAAGCUUUGUCCGGAUUUAUUGGGUUUAAAGGGUGCGUAGGCGGCAUUUUAAGUCAGUGGUGAAAUACUUCAGCUUAACUGGAGAGGUGCCAUUGAUACUGGGAUGCUUGAGUACUGAUGAGGUAGGCGGAAUGGACGGUGUAGCGGUGAAAUGCUUAGAUAUCGUCCAGAACACCGAUAGCGAAGGCAGCUUACUAAGGAGUAACUGACGCUGAGGCACGAAAGUGUGGGGAUCAAACAGG